This is a long non-coding RNA of Maniola jurtina (meadow brown), 146 nucleotides long. RefSeq lists it as uncharacterized. The transcript is spliced from 5 exons. Lineage: Eukaryota; Metazoa; Arthropoda; Insecta; Lepidoptera; Nymphalidae. The record is from RefSeq and is a predicted model, not a curated record.
GGGUUAGCGCGAAUGUGUGGAACGAUACGAUUGCCGCCAGCCACACAAUUCGCGAUAUCACGAAUCAUUUGACGAAUCCGGCAGUGGAGCCGAACCAACUGCGAACUGUUGGAAUAGCGAACUACAAAUAAGGAUUUACCUUUCAC